GGCGCUUGCGCGCCCGUGUCGUCCCUAUUCGGUCUUGCUCCCGGUGGGGUUUGCCGUGCCGUCCAUGUCGCCAUGUCCGCGGUGGGCUCUUACCCCACCCUUUCACCCUUACUCCGCAAGCGGAGCGGUCUGCUUUCUGUGGCACUUUCCCUGGGGUCGCCCCCGCCGGACGUUAUCCGGCACCGUGUUUCCGUGGAGCCCGGACUUUCCUCGCCCCGCGGCCUUUCGGCACUUGCGAGGCGCGGCUGCCCGG
RNAcentral lists this small RNA (253 nucleotides) under Sinorhizobium meliloti 2011. Its description in RNAcentral is "putative ncRNA". The record is from RNAcentral. Lineage: Bacteria; Pseudomonadati; Pseudomonadota; Alphaproteobacteria; Hyphomicrobiales; Rhizobiaceae.